AUGGCUGUCACAAAUGUUCCUUUUCAUCCAUGUUGCUGCUGCCAGCAAGGGACUCAUCAGGAAGUUAAAAUACAUCUUGUAGCAUGUAUGUUGCCAAAAAAAAUUGAACUUCCUGAAUGCUGUGCUGAGCUAAACCUGUGCCCUGCUGCUAAAUGUCAGGCUUGGGGAACAAGCGUUGCACUCUCUUCCUUUUUUGUAAUGAGAGGAAGCAGCUUGACUCCUCUUGGUUGAGGUUGUGGAUACAACGGGAGAGAGGUGAAGGGAAAGUGGCCUGUGAGGAAGCUGCCAACAACAGGGAGUCCAGAGCAUCUUAGAUGUACUUUAGAUUUAGAAAUAGAUUUCAGAGUGCAGUUUCCAGCUAGUUUCUUCUGUUUACAGUGGGAACUAUUGUCUCCUUGGCAAGGCAACUAGAAGGCUUUUCUGAUGCUUCCGUCUCGCUCGCUUCCUUCCUUGUGGGGCUAGCUGCUUUGCCUCGUAGCACACGGCGUGUGCUCGCCUUGCCGUCCUGUGGACUUUGAAUAGUCUCUGGGUUUGGGCUUAGUCUGUGUUUUCUCUCUGUGCCAUGACUUGCUGGAGGCAUGGGCACGGCAGGGGAGGUGAGCUUGUAGGGUCUCAGUCUGUGACUUUGCCGUCACCGGGAGUCCCACGCGUGGGAAACCUGGGUGACCGCUCCAUCCUGAGGAGACUGUGCUCGUCGCUGGUUUUGUGAAUAGAGAGCUCUCAAACCCUCAGGCCUUGUCACUCUUCAGCCUGACAUUCGCACAGCUAUUUUUCACGCUUGUUGUGUAAUCUCAAGUCAAAGUUUUUGUUAGCUUUUUAAGUUCUUUAAUCAAAUUGAAUACAUGAGCAACUAACUUCUUCAGUUGAAAUCUGCUGAGCAGAUGGGUUUCAGGCUUGUUUGAUAAGCUCUUCCGUUGCAUCUCUGACUCAAACAUUUCAAAAUCAAGCAUUGCUUCGAUAUCGCUUGACCGUGGCGGCUGCUCUGGGUGACAGCGUGGUCAGCUCUGCAGCUAGGUGUGCUUGUGACUGUGUGCCUUUACCCUGCUCGUGGGCAAGAGUUUCCUUCUGAGAAGUAUUUGCUGUUACUAGAGUGCAAUAACAUUUUGUCAUCAAUGUAUCAGAACAGAUAUAUCUGGAAUCAUCACUUUGCCUCGGAAAUAAACAGGAGGGGCGUGAGCGGGACGGAAAUGAA
This 1192-nucleotide long non-coding RNA is filed under the name Dromaius novaehollandiae (emu). RNAcentral's name for it is "lncRNA (ENSDNVG00000002338.1)". The record is from RNAcentral. Lineage: Eukaryota; Metazoa; Chordata; Aves; Casuariiformes; Dromaiidae.